Long non-coding RNA from Cydia splendana, 1342 nucleotides. RefSeq lists it as uncharacterized. The transcript has 2 exons. The record is from RefSeq and is a predicted model, not a curated record. NCBI's taxonomy places the organism in Eukaryota, Metazoa, Arthropoda, Insecta, Lepidoptera, Tortricidae.
AGUAAUAGUAAUUAUAAGUUUUAUUAAUAAGUACCUAAUUCAAUAGACUACAUAAUAUAAAAUCACGAUUGCCAAUUAAAUAACAUAGUUUGUAACAAAAAUGAGAUUCUGUAUUUCAGUCUUCGUACCAUCCGUCCGUCCGUCCGUGUGUUUCAGUGUACGUACUAAAGAAAAAUAAGCUAGUAAAUAUGGAAGACUGACAACCUCUAUACAACGCUGCGUAUCUCAUCAUUGUUAUAGUGUGAGUGAAUAUGAAAACAUUUAAACUGUCACCAUAUCGAUAUUUUAUAUCUUCGUACUUGUCUAACCGCUGCCACAGGCAAGCACAAUGAAAAUGUAGUAAAACCAUCAUAGGCAUUGUACUUAGUUACUUACUUAAUGGCGCAGCGACCCAAAAUGAGUCUUGGCCUCCGACACGAGUACACGCCAGUCGUCUCGAUCCUGUGCCAUCUCCCGCCAGUUAUCGGCAUGGAGAUCGCGCAAGCAUUGUAGUUUUGUAUAUUUAAUAGUGUUAUCUGUUGGAAAGUGUCUUCGUAAACUAAAAAAAUUGUUUUAUAGGUUACUGCAUAAACGCACGUGGAACAAGUUUAAAUGUUUGAAUAAAUAUACAGCGUUUGUUCGCGUGCGUGAUGCCGUCACAUUCGUUUCGACCUUGCUGCUAACAGACUAAAUUUGUAUCAGUGCCUAAUCCUCGACAAUAUACUCUUCAUAUGGACUCAUCAUAGUUUCCUUUACGCCCAGAUUCAACACUAUCCAGUGAACUCUCUGAGAAGUUUCAAAUAGGUAUGGCGCCAUUAAAUAGUUUUUACGUGUAUACCUCGUUUUUUUUUAGCAUCAGAAAAGACUACACGAUCUUUGCGUGUCUUUUUAUUGUAAAACUCUAAGUAAAAUUGUAAGAAUUGCUUAUGAAACCAAAAAAAUGUAAAUGAACAUAUAUGCUAUAUAAUUGUUUUAUAUUUGCUGUGACUUCCUUAUUUUUCAAGUGUUUUUCAAUAAAGAGACACGUCAAUAUCGUGUAGUAUUUUUCUAAUGCUAAAAUAACGAAGUAUAAAAUGCUUUUAUUGGGCCAUCUACAACGCAGCGGUGUAUGAAAAUUAACACUAUUCUCUGCUAUCAGAUUAAUACAUUGUUAAUAAAUUGAUUUAUGAAAAAAUAGUAUCCCCGACUUUAACAACUAAAGUAGAUGGCGCUCUACGAUUCCAUAUCUUUUGUGGUAAGGUAACUGAAUUAUCAAAUGUUUUUUGACAACCAGAGUACAGAGCCAUCUACAAAAGCUGUCUAAAUCGAAGAACGCAUUUGUCUUCAACUUAUACAUCCUAUAUAGUCAAUGAUAGCCUAUUAA